UGGGGUUUCUGCUGCACCUGCUGAUAUAAGUUACUCCAUGGAAUCAAGGUGGAGAGAUAUCAAAAUAUAUAAAAGCUAACCGCAUUGCUGCUGCGCUUGACCACAUCACUGCCACAACAAACAAAUUUAAUACUAUGGGUUUUAUAUAGAAAUAGGAUAACAUUGUGAAUUUGUGUAAUAUGCUACAUAUUAGAUCUCUCAAUUAUGGUUUGAAUACAAUCAUAUACAGGAGUAAUCAGAGACUAAUUAUGAGCUACUGGCAUGCUCAUAACCUAACAAUCAUAGCUAGUGAGCCCCUGGUUAUUUAUAAAUAACUAUAUAAAUUCUAACAUGAAUGUUUCACUUAAUAACUUUAAACCAAAAGUUUUCAUUUCAACAACCAAACAUCAAAGAAGAAUGAAUGAUUCAAAGAUGAACUAGAAACCAAUCAAUUUUACUAAGUUUUCAUUUCAACAACCAAACAUCAAAGAAGAAUGAAUGAUUCAAAGAUGAACUAGAAACCAAUCAAUUUUACAUUUGUACCAAAAACACAAAAAUACACUUGUACCAAAAAGAAACAAAAAAAAGCAAACACUAAAUUUCAAACACAAAAAUACACUAAUUUUCCCACAAUGUAGUAGCAUUUUGUCUUCCUCAACAUUAACGUUGAUUGAAAUAGUUUUUAAACCCUGGAAACAGGUUACCAAUUGUACUACUUACCACUGUCCACAAUUCCUUUGUAAUUUAUGUCACAUGGGCAAAGCUCAUGACAUGGGAUUUAAUAUCAUGUCUUGUACAUGUGAUGAACUUUAUUAAAUUUUUCUGACACACUCCUUGACAUGAAAAUCUCAUUGGCUUCAACUAGUGUCUAUAACUAUUGUUCAUUAAUUUAUCUAAAUGUUUUUAUUCACCUACUAUCUAUAACUAUGUUCAUAAAUUUAUCUAAAUGUUUUUAGUGGCAUAUUCCUCCCAGUUUGAAGUUUGAAUUGGUUUAUUUGGUAGACUUUUAGUGUCUAUUGUCAAGAUUUUUACACCUAGUUCGUCAUUCACUAUGGCAGCCUCGGUGGCACAGUGCUUAUACAGACAUUGUCCAACCGGGAACUAACUAGUCCGAUGAAUUUUUUUUAUAACUAUGUUCAUAUGCACUUGUUAGUUUAUAUUUUUACAUGGAGAAAAAUGGUUAGGAUAUGGUAAUGUUAUAUAAAAAAAUGGUUUAAUAUAGUUACUCAUCAAAAGAACACUUUAAGUUUGUAAGAGACAAAAAUUACCAAAAAACUACUGUGUGAGGAUGGACUUAGUAUGAGUUCAGCAAGAACAUCAAACCUAAACUUAGCUGAAGUAAUUGUUUUGAAGAGUUUCAAUAUAAAAUAGAAAGAUUUUGUUUUACCAUUGGCCAUUUUGUAAGGGUUCUGUGUCAAUAUUAAGAAGUCAUUAGUUUAGCUUUAUAAGAGCUGAAGCACAAACAGAGUUAAAGAGUUCAUACAAGUAAGAUAUUACAUUUAUGAACAUAGAUUACACAAAUAAACUCAACAACAACCACGCCUUUAAAUUACCAAAGCAACAUUAACUCACUUUAUACGGCGUUGCUUAUUCUUAACAUCAUCAAAAAACUUAUGGACAUCUGCAACAGUAAUUGGCUUGGAGGAGUCUGCAGAUUCGUGUCAUGAAACAUGACAACAACAAAUUAAAAUGAUUAAAUAAAGAUGUGAUUAAUGCACUCAUAAUCAAUAUUUCAACGUGUCUCUUUAAGGAUGAUGGAUAUUACACUAACUGUAACACCGCUUUUAAGUUCAAAGAUAGCAUCCAAUACCUCAAGUGCCCAUUUUGGGGAGAAAAUAGAGAAAUGUAUUGUGGCAGUGUUGCUAAUCCUAACAUGAAACUCACGUGGGAAGAUAAAGUUCCAAAGAUCACAAUCAAUAGUAGAUUCAUAAACUAGAGUAAACUAACCCAUUUUAAAAGAGAA
RNAcentral lists this long non-coding RNA (1942 nucleotides) under Lathyrus oleraceus (garden pea). RNAcentral describes it as "Pisum sativum (pea) long non-coding RNA (PSAT_LNC000905)". The record is from RNAcentral. Lineage: Eukaryota; Viridiplantae; Streptophyta; Magnoliopsida; Fabales; Fabaceae.